AGCAGCCGCGGUAAUUCCAGCUCCAAUAGCGUAUAUUAAAGUUGUUGCAGUUAAAAAGCUCGUAGUUGAAUUUCGGGAUUGGCGCAUCGGUCGUGCCUUACGGGGUAUGAACUGGUGCAGUCAAUUUCUCACCUUCUGGAGAACCGCGAUGUCCUUAAUUGGGUGCCGCGGGGAACCAGGACCUUUACUUUGAAAAAAUUAGAGUGUUUAAAGCAGGCAUUUUUGCUUGAAUACAUUAGCAUGGAAUAAUAAAAUAGGACGGCAUGGUUCUAUUUUGUUGGUUUCUAGGACCACCGUAAUGAUUAAUAGGGAUAGUUGGGGGCAUUAGUAUUCAAUUGUCAGAGGUGAAAUUCUUGGAUUUAUUGAAGACUAACUACUGCGAAAGCAUUUGCCAAGGAUGUUUUCAUUAAUCAAGAACGAAAGUUAGGGGAUCGAAGACGAUCAGAUACCGUCGUAGUCUUAACCAUAAACUAUGCCGACUAGG
Molecule: ribosomal RNA, 484 nt
Filed under: uncultured Entrophospora
Lineage: Eukaryota; Fungi; Glomeromycota; Glomeromycetes; Entrophosporales; Entrophosporaceae
Description: SSU rRNA
Rfam family: Eukaryotic small subunit ribosomal RNA
Source: RNAcentral